Molecule: ribosomal RNA, 388 nt
Filed under: Rana temporaria (common frog)
Lineage: Eukaryota; Metazoa; Chordata; Amphibia; Anura; Ranidae
Description: partial 16S ribosomal RNA
Rfam family: Bacterial large subunit ribosomal RNA
Source: RNAcentral
AACGGCCGCGGUACCCUAACCGUGCGAAGGUAGCAUAAUCACUUGUUCUUUAAAUGAGGACUCGUAUCAACGGCACUACGAGGGCUAUACUGUCUCCUUUUUCUAAUCAGUGAAACUGAUCUCCCCGUGAAGAAGCGGGGAUCAAAAUAUAAGACGAGAAGACGCCAUGGAGCUUUAAACUCACCACGCACCUCUGUGCCCUCAACCCCUUAAACACAAGAGAUCUACGUGCUAGUUUUAGGUUGGGGGGACCACGGAGUAUAACUUAACCUCCCAUAACAAAUGGGCUAACACCCUUAUCCAUGAGACACAGCUCUAAGAAUUACUAAAGCUUANGACCCGAUAUUAGAUCAAUGAACCAAGUUACCCUGGGGAUAACAGCGCAAUC